UACGUAGGGGGCAAGCGUUGUCCGGAUUUAUUGGGCGUAAAGAGCGUGUAGGCGGCCAUACAGGUCAGCUGUGAAAACUCGAGGCUCAACCUCGAGACGCCGGUGGAAACCAUCAGGCUAGAGUCCGGAAGAGGAGAGUGGAACUCCUAGUGUAGAGGUGGAAUUCGUAGAUAUUAGGAAGAACACCAGUGGCGAAGGCGGCUCACUGGUCCGGGUACUGACGCUGAGGUGGCGAAAGCGUGGG
RNAcentral lists this ribosomal RNA (244 nucleotides) under uncultured bacterium. RNAcentral's name for it is "partial 16S ribosomal RNA". It matches the Rfam family "Bacterial small subunit ribosomal RNA", at positions 524 to 765 of the family's 1533-position model. The record is from RNAcentral.